AUGUUCUGGUUUCUCUUCAGAGUCUAUAAAUCUUUUGCCUUUUACUAAAGACUUCCAUGAAAAGGAAAAAAUAAUAAGAAUAAUGUAUGUUAGCGCUUUUUUUAAAAAAAAAA
This is a small nuclear RNA of Pipistrellus kuhlii (Kuhl's pipistrelle), 113 nucleotides long. RefSeq annotates it as U5 spliceosomal RNA. Lineage: Eukaryota; Metazoa; Chordata; Mammalia; Chiroptera; Vespertilionidae. The transcript has a single exon. The record is from RefSeq and is a predicted model, not a curated record.